This 75-nucleotide transfer RNA is filed under the name Halopseudomonas bauzanensis. RNAcentral describes it as "Pseudomonas bauzanensis tRNA_Thr_TGT". The record is from RNAcentral. Lineage: Bacteria; Pseudomonadati; Pseudomonadota; Gammaproteobacteria; Pseudomonadales; Pseudomonadaceae.
GCCGUAGACACAUUUAAGGUCAGGGCCUGACUUGUAAUCAGUAGGUCCCGAGUUCGACUCUUGGUGCCGGCACCA